Molecule: transfer RNA, 86 nt
Filed under: Firmicutes bacterium ADurb.Bin467
Lineage: Bacteria; Bacillati; Bacillota
Description: tRNA-Pro
Source: RNAcentral
GCGGCACUGCCGUUGGGAGCGGCACUGCCGUUGGGAGCGGCACUGCCGUUGGGAGCGGCACUGCCGUUGGGAGCGGCACUGCCGUC